RNAcentral lists this long non-coding RNA (466 nucleotides) under Ananas comosus (pineapple). Its description in RNAcentral is "long non-coding RNA (ACOM_LNC022147)". Lineage: Eukaryota; Viridiplantae; Streptophyta; Magnoliopsida; Poales; Bromeliaceae. The record is from RNAcentral.
AAAAUUUCCUCAAUACCCCUCUAAAACUAUCUAAUUUCAUAAAUACCCAUCUAAAAAUUGAAAUAUCAUGUAUACCCUCCUAAAUUUAAAAAACUUUCAAAAAUAACCUUACCAUUAAGUGCCCAUCCAAAUUGAAGUUAAUANUAGAAUUGAGCUCCUAUGCUUUUAAAAGUAUCAAGUUAUUGGUGCUUGUAGAUUUUUAGCCAUUGGAUUAAGAGAUAUGCGGUUAGGAUGAUAUGGGCCCCCUAGGGUUGAGUGGGUGGUUGGUUGAAUAGCAUAAUCUAAUGGUUGAAAAUGAAUCGAGGAGUAGAUCUAACGGUAAAAAACUUACAAGCACUAAAUUCUUGGUACUUUUACAAGCACCAUAGCUUGACUCUAUAUAUAUAUAUAUAUAUAUAUAUAUAUAUUAAUAAAUAAUUUUGUAGUUAUUAGAUAUUAUUAUACUUGAUUUUUUUCUUUUUUUAUU